ACGAUCCAUAGCUGGUUUCAGAGGAUGAUCAGCCACACUGGGACUGAGACACGGCCCAGACUCCUACGGGAGGCAGCAGUGGGGAAUCUUAGACAAUGGGCGCAAGCCUGAUCUAGCCAUGCCGCGUGAGUGACGAAGGCCCUAGGGUCGUAAAGCUCUUUCGCCUGUGAAGAUAAUGACGGUAGCAGGUAAAGAAACCCCGGCUAACUCCGUGCCAGCAGCCGCGGUAAUACGGAGGGGGUUAGCGUUGUUCGGAAUUACUGGGCGUAAAGCGCGCGUAGGCGGACCAUCAAGUUGGGGGUGAAAUCCCGGGGCUCAACCCCGGAACUGCCACCAAAACUGGCGGUCUGGAGUUCGAGAGAGGUGAGUGGAAUUCCGAGUGUAGAGGUGAAAUUCGUAGAUAUUCGGAGGAACACCAGUGGCGAAGGCGGCUCACUGGCUCGAGACUGACGCUGAGGUGCGAA
This 464-nucleotide ribosomal RNA is filed under the name uncultured Paracoccaceae bacterium. RNAcentral's name for it is "bacterial SSU rRNA". It matches the Rfam family "Bacterial small subunit ribosomal RNA", at positions 276 to 757 of the family's 1533-position model. The record is from RNAcentral. Lineage: Bacteria; Pseudomonadati; Pseudomonadota; Alphaproteobacteria; Rhodobacterales; Paracoccaceae.